This 470-nucleotide ribosomal RNA is filed under the name uncultured Allobrachymonas sp. Its description in RNAcentral is "bacterial SSU rRNA". It matches the Rfam family "Bacterial small subunit ribosomal RNA", at positions 906 to 1382 of the family's 1533-position model. The record is from RNAcentral. Lineage: Bacteria; Pseudomonadati; Pseudomonadota; Betaproteobacteria; Burkholderiales; Comamonadaceae.
GGAAUUGACGGGACCGCACAAGCGGUGAUGAUGUGGUUUAAUUCGAUGCAACGACGAAAAACCUUACCACCUUUGACAUGGCAGGAAUCCUAAAGAGAUUUGGGAGUGCUCGAAAGAGAACCUGCACACAGGUGCUGCAUGGCUGUCGUCAGCUCGUGUCGUGAGAUGUUGGGUUAAGUCCCGCAACGAGCGCAACCCUUGCCAUUAGUUGCUACGAAAGGGCACUCUAAUGGGGACUGCCGGUGACAAGCCGGAGGAAGGUGGGGAUGACGUCAAGUCCUCAUGGCCCUUAUAGGUGGGGCUACACACGUCAUACAAUGGCUGGUACAAAGGGUUGCCAACCCGCGAGGGGGAGCUAAUCCCACAAAGCCAGUCGUAGUCCGGAUCGUAGUCUGCAACUCGACUACGUGAAGUCGGAAUCGCUAGUAAUCGUGGAUCAGAAUGUCACGGUGAAUACGUUCCCGGGUCUU